CUACGGGUGGCAGCAGUCGAGAAUCAUUCGCAAUGCGCGAAAGCGUGACGAUGCGACGCUGCGUGGAGGAUGACUGCCUUCGGGUUGUAAACUCCUGUCAUGAGGGAAAAGACGGUUGCGGAUUAAUAGUCCGUGACCCCGAUGGUACCUCAAGAGGAAGCGACGGCUAACUUCGUGCCAGCAGCCGCGGUAAUACGAAGGUCGCGAGCGUUGUUCGGAUUUACUGGGCGUAAAGCGUGCGUAGGCGGUCAUGCAAGUCGGAUGUGAAAGCCCGGGGCUCAACCCCGGAAGUGCGUCCGAAACUGCAUGACUUGAGCAUGGAAGAGGAGAGCGGAAGUCACGGUGUAGCGGUGAAAUGCGUUGAUAUCGUGAGGAACGCCGGAGGCGAAGGCGGCUCUCUGGUACAUGGCUGACGCUGAGGCACGAAAGCGUGGGGAGCAAACAGGAUUAGAUACCCGCGUAGUC
RNAcentral lists this ribosomal RNA (465 nucleotides) under uncultured bacterium. Its description in RNAcentral is "partial 16S ribosomal RNA". It matches the Rfam family "Bacterial small subunit ribosomal RNA", at positions 339 to 795 of the family's 1533-position model. The record is from RNAcentral.